Molecule: long non-coding RNA, 612 nt
Organism: Rhineura floridana
Lineage: Eukaryota; Metazoa; Chordata; Lepidosauria; Squamata; Rhineuridae
Exons: 3
Source: RefSeq, a predicted model, not a curated record
GUUAGUUCUGCAGACUUACCCUCCCACAACGACUUAGCUGAUUAAACAUUUAAAAUACAGCAACAUCUCUAAGAUAUGUUACGUUGGCAAAAUCCUCAAUAUAUUCUUUACAACUGAUUGAUAGAAGGAAAUGAAGAACUGAGUUAAUGAACAGCCCACGUACCAGUUCAUAUCUUAGAAUAUAAUAUACAAAAUGUAUACUCAUCAUGAAAGCCACUGAAGAAGACUAACUGUCAAAACGCAUCUGGCUAUGGUAUACAUUGUGCAUUCUAUGGACAUUGAUUUAUGCACAUUGGCCACUGUUUACAAGUUGCCCUGGAUUUCCACACUGAUAUUGCCUUCAUUAUAUUAUAUAUUCUGUAUUUUAUUGUGUUUGGGCACUGAUCUGUUCACAUAUACUUUGGCCAUGUUUUAAUACUAUAUGAGAACACUUGUAAGGAUUUUAUACUGAUUGUUUAUAUAUAUUACAUUUUGAUAUUAUUUUAUAAUAAUGCAUUUUAUGUUGUGUAUAGAACAAGUCAGAAAGUAGUGAUCUGAUCAUGAAAGUGGCAAUGUUUUGAAAAAACAAAAUCAGAUCUGUAAAAAACAAUAAAUCCAAUGUCUGUUCCACAA